AACGAACGCUGGCGGCAUGCCUAACACAUGCAAGUCGAACGAGACCUUCGGGUCUAGUGGCGCACGGGUGCGUAACGCGUGGGAACCUGCCCUUAGGUUCGGAAUAACUCCCCGAAAGGGGUGCUAAUACCGGAUAAUGUCUUCGGACCAAAGAUUUAUCGCCUUUGGAUGGGCCCGCGUUGGAUUAGCCAGUUGGUAGGGUAAAAGCCUACCAAGGCGACGAUCCAUAGCUGGUCUGAGAGGAUGAUCAGCCACACUGGGACUGAGACACGGCCCAGACUCCUACGGGAGGCAGCAGUGGGGAAUAUUGGACAAUGGGCGAAAGCCUGAUCCAGCAAUGCCGCGUGAGUGAUGAAGGCCUUAGGGUUGUAAAGCUCUUUUACCCGGGAUGAUAAUGACAGUACCGGGAGAAUAAGCGCCGGCUAACUCCGUG
Molecule: ribosomal RNA, 433 nt
Filed under: uncultured bacterium
Lineage: Bacteria
Description: partial 16S ribosomal RNA
Rfam family: Bacterial small subunit ribosomal RNA
Source: RNAcentral